AUGGGUCGUGAGUGGGAACUUAGUUUCCGUCUGGGUAUGCGUCCUUGGAUUGCUGUAGCAUAUUCAGCUCCCAUUGCAGCUGCUACUGCUGUUUUCUUGAUUUACCCUAUUGGUCAAGGAAGCUUUUCUGAUGGUAUGCCUUUAGGAAUCUCUGGUACUUUCAACUUUAUGAUUGUAUUCCAGGCAGAGCACAACAUCCUUAUGCAUCCAUUCCACAUGUUAGGUGUAGCUGGUGUAUUCGGCGGUUCCCUAUUCAGUGCUAUGCAUGGUUCCUUGGUAACCUCUAGUUUGAUCAGGGAAACUACUGAAAAUGAAUCUGCUAAUGAGGGUUACAAAUUUGGUCAAGAUGAAGAAACUUAUAAUAUUGUGGCUGCUCAUGGUUAUUUUGGCCGAUUAAUCUUCCAAUAUGCUAGUUUCAACAACUCUCGUUCUUUACACUUCUUCUUGGCUGCUUGGCCUGUAGUAGGAAUCUGGUUCACUGCUUUAGGUAUUAGUACUAUGGCUUUCAACCUAAAUGGUUUCAAUUUCAACCAAUUUGUAGUUGAUAGUCAAGGUCGCGUUAUUAAUACUUGGGCUGAUAUCAUCAACCGUGCUAACCUUGGUAUGGAAGUAAUGCACGAACGUAACGCUCACAACUUCCCUCUAGACUUAGCUGCUAUUGAAGUUCCAUCUAUUAAUGGAUAA
RNAcentral lists this ribosomal RNA (684 nucleotides) under Triticum aestivum (bread wheat). RNAcentral describes it as "partial small subunit ribosomal RNA". Lineage: Eukaryota; Viridiplantae; Streptophyta; Magnoliopsida; Poales; Poaceae. The record is from RNAcentral.